GAAGGUAUAGUUCAAGUGGCAGAGUGCAUGCUUAGCACGCAUGAGGUCCUGAGUUCAAUCCCCAGCAUCUCCU
RNAcentral lists this transfer RNA (73 nucleotides) under Camelus dromedarius (Arabian camel). It matches the Rfam family "tRNA". From Rfam's summary of the family: Transfer RNA (tRNA) molecules are approximately 80 nucleotides in length. Their secondary structure includes four short double-helical elements and three loops (D, anti-codon, and T loops). Lineage: Eukaryota; Metazoa; Chordata; Mammalia; Artiodactyla; Camelidae. The record is from Rfam by way of RNAcentral. RNAcentral also lists the same sequence under 1 other name.